UUUAUAUUUAUAUACAUUAAUGUUUAUAAUUUUGAUAUUGUAGUUUAUUAAAAAAAAUCUUAUUAAAUUAUAAUAAUUCAUACUAAAAUAGAUAAUAAACAUUUAUCUUUUAAUAAAAAAAAAUUAACUUGUUUAUUUUUAUAAAACUAUUUAUUAAUUUUACAAAAUUAUUUAUUUUGAGUUUUAAUAAACAUAGUUUAUUAUUUAAUGAUUAAAAUGUAUGGUUUGAUACAAUAAGUUUUUAAAAUAUAUAAGUUUUUAAAAUAAUUUUUUUUGCACAUUUUUUGUAAUUAUGUUGUUUUUGUUGUACAUUUAUGAAAAAAGCCCUUUAUUUUUUUACUUGGGUUUUGAGAGAGAAAAUCAAGAUAUAUAUAUAGAGAGAAAAUUUUUGUGGGUGUGCUUCAGAGAGAGAGAGAAAACUUGAAACGGGAGCAGGCUGAUGAAGAAGUGUGGAGGCUCUCUUGGUGAAGAGAGUCCAUUCCGUGAGAAUAUUUUCAAGAAGAACAAUACAUAAGAAGAAGAAGAACAACAGACAACUCAAAUUUUCUAAGUAAAAAUAUUCUCUUUUUUUCUUUAUUUAUUUUUUCUAGAACGACAUAAACUUUACUGGGUUUUUGUUGUUUUUACUAAUUAUGUUGUUUUUUUUUUCUUUUUUGGGGUUGUAGUUUAGCUCUGGUUUCGUGAGUGGUGUUGUUGUAUCGUUUGAUGACUCUUAUGACUUAUUUAAUUAUUGAUUUAUUUAUUGUUUUAAUGUUGUUUUAUUGUUGUUUUCUUUCAUUUUUUUUAUCACAUUUUCUAAAUAUUAUUGUACCGCUCUAUUUUUAAUAGUAAUAGGGAAUAAUGAAAUUUGUAUAUAAGUUAUUUUCUUCAGUAUCAUAUGCUCUAAUAUAUGUUCAGUUUUCCUCUGUUGUUCUACUGUUGUUUUUUGUUGUUCUGCUUCUUUUCAUUUUUGAUGUCUUUUCCUGUAUGUUCUCUUGUUGCGCCCCAGCUCCCCACAUUUGCUGCAUUUGUUAUAUUGUUUCUUUUCCCAUCCAGCUUCAAUCCUUUUUUUUUGGUCUUUUAGAUUUCACCACUUUAAUGGAAGGUAAGACUAUUACUGUCCAUGAUUCUUUCAUUCUGGUUACCUCAAAUAAAUAUUCAGUGGUUGGUUUAACCUGUGUAAUUUAAAACCAAUAUUUGUUAAAUAUACGAAACAAUAGUGGAACAACCCAAAAACAACAUUAAAAAACCAUGACAACCCCAAUAUUAACGGUUUUAAUGUUUAUGCUUCAUCUCAACAGAUUUAAUGGUUGUUUUCUGCCUGUUCUGGUGUUGCUAUAGUGGUUUUGUCUGCGGGUGUGGAAGAUGGAGACCUCGUUUUUUAUUUUCGAUGUUUACAUUAUAAAAGAAAAAAAAAGUUCCAAGGCAGUAUAAAAGUUAUUUUUGCCGUAUGGCAGUAUUUUUGUAAAGAUUGAGUCAAAAUCCAGUAUUUUUGUAAGUUUCCCUAAACAUAUUACAUAUUAUUAUAAGUGUAUACCAUAGAUUUAAAAAAUACCUUUGUUCAUUCAAAGAGAAGAAGUCAAAUAGCGAAAGCGUACCUCAAUCCAUAUAUAGUGAUGAUCUUAAUUCAUCUUGUAGAGAUGAUUUUUGUGGUGAUUUUGAGUAAUAAUCUUCCAAAAAUAUAAGACUUAUAAAGUUUUUUAAUUUUAUCUCUUGAUGAAAGAAAAUGAAAAUAGAGUUACUCCUGUUUUUUGGGACUACUACCAAUAUAUAAUGUAUAGCUUGGUUAUUAAUUUUAAGUAUUUUUAAUUUAGCCUCUUAAUAAAUUAGAAAUACCUUUAAAGUACCCAAUAACUAUAAUUAUGAUGAAAUUUCAAAUAACAAUACACUAAUAUAAAUAUAAUCAUAUUGAUGAUUUUAAUUUAAUAUAUAUUUAUUGAUACAUUAAGUGUUAAAUAAUAUAAGUUAUCUUUAUAUAUUUAAAGUGUUUAUAUAACAUAAUGGUUUAACUAAUUUCAUUCAUUCAUUCAUUCUGUUUGAUCAAUUUCAUUCAACUUUGAGUUUAAACCACCCCUAAUUUCAUUCAUUCAUUCCCUUUGAUCAAUUUUUAAUAAUAGUUAUAUAUUUAUUUUUUAUUUUUUGUCGUCUCCAGAAUUAACUCGAUUUGUUUUGUUGUAGCUCUGAUUUGUCCAAUGGGAGAGAAGUUCAUAUAUUCAAGAGGGAAAGCUAUAUACAUUCACCCAGUUGUAUUUCAUGUUCUUAAUUGAAGUUAUCUUCAAUCCAAUGCUAAUUUUUGCAAUCUAGAUCAUUCAGUUGUGUAGACCGAACAAUCAAUAACAGAUGAAUUCUUAUGCGGCGUAGUAGACAACUCAACUUUUGCUACUUAAUUUGGAAGUUUAUAUAGCUUAAUGUUUAAAGAGCUUUUUUUGAUCGGAUGGUGGGUUUUAGAUUAGAGAGCAAAAGCAGUUUCACAUGAAGUGAAGGGUUAUCUCAAUAAUCGAAUGAAAUCAAAGGUGUGAAUCUGCAGCUAACGGCUACCCCAAAGGAUCUGUUUGAUAAUCAAAGAGGUGGAAGAUUUAGAGCUCUUAUGGCGAUAUUGGUCUCUCAUGUACUGAUACAAUAAGACCAUUGCCUAUGUUGCUUCAUGUAUGCCCGCUAUAUUCUCAGCCUAUCAUAGCGUUCCCAAGGAGGUAAUUUCUUUUAAAAACUUGAUUACUCAUCCAGGUUUCUCAUCAAAGGUCAAGUUAUGGUGCCAUGACCAUUACUGAGUUCGAAUUAUUGCUGAUAUGAUACACAUGUAAACUUUGUUGUUUGGUAAGUCUUGAUUUAUGACUGUUAGCUUUGAACAUUUUUUUGUUUCUCUACAGCUACUGAAUUUAGAGUUUUAAAUGAAAAGAAAAGAGAGUUUCAGAAUAACUCUGAUAUUGCUUAGUUUCAUAGAUCUAUCAAGAUUUGCUUAAAGUCAAUCUAUCUACAGCUACUGCUUUUUAGCUGGUGUAUAUCUCAAAUUUUAUGGGAGUUGAUUUAUUUACAUAAAAUUUAUUUAUGACUCCUACUUCUAAUUAUUCAAUUGUGAUCUAUUAUGAAGAGAAGGGUACUGAGUUUUUCUCAAUAAUUGAAUGAAAUAAAGGGCGUGAAUCUGCAGCUAACGGCUACUCCAAAGGAUCUAUUCGAUAACCCUUUGAAGUGUGUGGAACAAUCACAAGAGGUAGAAGAUUAGAGCUCUUAUAUAGAUAUUGGUCUCAUGUAUAGAAAACAAUAAGACCAUAAACAUUGGUCAGGGGGAUGAAGUACGAUAUUUGAUAUUAGUUUUUCUUUUGAAUAACUUUAUGUUAUUAAUAUUUAAGGAUAAAAAAAACUGAUCUUAUGGUAUUAUAAUUUUUUUUUUAUAUAUUUUUAAUUAUUUCUAUAAGUUUGCUCCCAUAACUACAGGGAAGAUUUAUAUUGAUUUUUUUUCAUUUGAAUUUGAUUUUUUUUAUGCAGAAGUAUAAUCUUAAAAUUAAUUAUAAGUCUUAUGGAAAAUAAAUACUUUCUGUAGUAAUAUUGCAACUUCGUCAAAAAUACCAUAGACAGAUUAUUAAUAAAAAAAAGUAGACAAUCCUUGCAGACCUGGACAGAUUAAAAAGUGUAAAA
Long non-coding RNA from Cannabis sativa, 3612 nucleotides. RefSeq lists it as uncharacterized. The record is from RefSeq and is a predicted model, not a curated record. The transcript has 4 exons. NCBI's taxonomy places the organism in Eukaryota, Viridiplantae, Streptophyta, Magnoliopsida, Rosales, Cannabaceae.